This 253-nucleotide ribosomal RNA is filed under the name uncultured bacterium. RNAcentral's name for it is "partial 16S ribosomal RNA". It matches the Rfam family "Bacterial small subunit ribosomal RNA", at positions 524 to 776 of the family's 1533-position model. The record is from RNAcentral.
UACGGAGGGUGCAAGCGUUAUCCGGAAUUACUGGGUUUAAAGGGUGCGUAGGCGGCUAUAUAAGUCAGGAGUGAAAGGUUCCCGCUAAACGGGAGAAGGUCUUUUGAUACUGUAUAGCUUGAAUAAGGUUGAGGUUAGCGGAAUGUGACAUGUAGCGGUGAAAUGCAUAGAUAUGUCAUAGAACACCAAUUGCGAAGGCAGCUGGCUAGACCUUUAUUGACGCUGAGGCACGAAAGCGUGGGGAGCGAACAGG